UACAGGGGGGGCAAGCGUUGUUCGGAAUUACUGGGCGUAAAGGGCCAGUAGGCGGCCAACUAAGUCCGACGUGAAAUCCCCAAGCUUAACUUGGGAACUGCGUCGGAUACUGGAUGGCUUGAAUUCGGGAGAGGGAUGCAGAAUUCCAGGUGUAGCGGUGAAAUGCGUAGAUAUCUGGAGGAAUACCGGUGGCGAAGGCGGCAUCCUGGACCGACACUGACGCUGAGGAGCGAAAGCCAGGGGAGCAAACGGG
Molecule: ribosomal RNA, 253 nt
Filed under: uncultured bacterium
Lineage: Bacteria
Description: partial 16S ribosomal RNA
Rfam family: Bacterial small subunit ribosomal RNA
Source: RNAcentral